Molecule: ribosomal RNA, 436 nt
Filed under: Bacteroidetes bacterium SCGC AAA027-E17
Lineage: Bacteria; Pseudomonadati; Bacteroidota
Description: bacterial SSU rRNA
Rfam family: Bacterial small subunit ribosomal RNA
Source: RNAcentral
GUAAGGAAUAUUGGUCAAUGGACGCAAGUCUGAACCAGCCAUGCCGCGUGCAGGAAGACGGCCCUAUGGGUUGUAAACUGCUUUUGUCGGGGAAGAAACCCAUCUACGUGUAGAUGGCUGACGGUACUCGAAGAAUAAGGAUCGGCUAACUCCGUGCCAGCAGCCGCGGUAAUACGGAGGAUCCAAGCGUUAUCCGGAUUUAUUGGGUUUAAAGGGUGCGUAGGCGGCGUUGUAAGUCAGUGGUGAAAGUUUUCAGCUUAACUGGAAAAUUGCCAUUGAUACUGCAGUGCUUGAGUAUAGAUGAGGUGGGCGGAAUGUGUCAUGUAGCGGUGAAAUGCAUAGAUAUGACACAGAACACCGAUUGCGAAGGCAGCUCACUAAACUAUAACUGACGCUGAGGCACGAAAGCGUGGGGAUCAAACAGGAUUAGAUACCC